Molecule: transfer RNA, 74 nt
Filed under: Candidatus Onthoplasma faecigallinarum
Lineage: Bacteria; Bacillati; Bacillota; Clostridia; Christensenellales; Christensenellaceae
Description: tRNA-Gly
Rfam family: tRNA
About the family: Transfer RNA (tRNA) molecules are approximately 80 nucleotides in length.
Source: RNAcentral
GCGGGUGUAGUACAUCGGUAGUACGUGGGCUUCCCAAGCCUAUGAGGUGGGUUCGACUCCCAUCACUCGCUCCA